AAGGACUCAGAAGGGAGAACCAGAGAGACCACAAGAAGAGAAGGACCUCCCCCAGCCCCCCAUCCAAUGCUGCUGGUUUGGAGGGACGGGACACAAGUCAGGAAUACAAGGCUCUUAUAGAAGCUGGAAAGGGAAGGCUUCAGGGAAAUAGUUCUUUCCUGGGAUUCCCACAAGAUACACAGAAAGCUACUCUAGACUUUCCCAGGCAGAGGUAGUCAUGGUGGGAAGAAGCCAAAACAGCAGACAACAAAGGCACAAUUAGACAAACAGGAUUACUCCAGACUCAGAAAAUCAACAGUGAAGAAGCCUGCAAAAUGGAGUGUUUUAAAUAAAGUUUUCUUCUGGCAAAGGAUAACUAUUCAGAGUAUAGAAGGAACUUAAAAACAUUAAUUUAAAAAAUCCAGUUUAAAAAUGG
Molecule: long non-coding RNA, 415 nt
Filed under: Mus caroli (Ryukyu mouse)
Lineage: Eukaryota; Metazoa; Chordata; Mammalia; Rodentia; Muridae
Description: lncRNA (MGP_CAROLIEiJ_G0002343.1)
Source: RNAcentral